This 441-nucleotide long non-coding RNA is filed under the name Setaria viridis. RNAcentral's name for it is "long non-coding RNA (SVIR_LNC003049)". Lineage: Eukaryota; Viridiplantae; Streptophyta; Magnoliopsida; Poales; Poaceae. The record is from RNAcentral.
GCCACAAUUUAUUUGGUAUAAAAUAGUAAAAAAUGAUGAACGGGAUAGGAAGACAGUACUACUGAUUACUGAAGAUAUGGAAAACUCAAACACGCACACUAUCUGUAUGUCCACCUGUCCAAGCCAGUUAGGAAGUAUUGGCCCAUGUGGCCAUGUCGUUAUCUUUUUUUCCGAGAGGACGGCAAGAGAUUUACUCAAAGUUUUCUUAGUUAGGUUGGUGCGCGAUGCCUAUACGAAAGAUGUUAACCUAAAAUAAUGAUGAAAUGCGAAUUUAUUAUCUUACAAUGCUUAAAGUAGCAUCCCACAUUGAAUCAAAUAAAAAAUACAAUAUAAAUUGAUCGCAUCCAGUAUUAAAUUUAAACAACUUUUUAUCAUAAUGGCUAUGUUACACUGAUUGUUGGUUUUGAUAGAGGUAAAAGAUAAAAUUAGAAUGAAUAAUUC